GAUGAACGCUGGCGGCGUGCCUAAUACAUGCAAGUCGAGCGAACAGACGAGGAGCUUGCUCCUCUGACGUUAGCGGCGGACGGGUGAGUAACACGUGGAUAACCUACCUAUAAGACUGGGAUAACUUCGGGAAACCGGCGCUAAUACCGGAUAAUAUAUUGAACCGCAUGGUUCAAUAGUGAAAGACGGUUUUGCUGUCACUUAUAGAUGGAUCCGCGCCGCAUUAGCUAGUUGGUAAGGUAACGGCUUACCAAGGCAACGAUGCGUAGCCGACCUGAGAGGGGGAUAGCCCACACUGGAGGUGAGACACGGUCCAGACGCCUACGGGAGGCAGCAGUAGGGAAUGGUCCGCAAUGGGCGAGAGCAUGACGGAGCAACGCCGAGUGAGUGAUGAAGGUCUUCGGAUCGUAAAACUCUGUUAUUAGGGAAGAACAAAUGUGUAAGUAACCAUGGACGUCUUGACGGUACCUAAUCAGAAAGCCACGGCUAACUACGUG
This 497-nucleotide ribosomal RNA is filed under the name uncultured bacterium. Its description in RNAcentral is "partial 16S ribosomal RNA". It matches the Rfam family "Bacterial small subunit ribosomal RNA", at positions 28 to 507 of the family's 1533-position model. The record is from RNAcentral.